This is a small nucleolar RNA of Eptesicus fuscus (big brown bat), 132 nucleotides long. RefSeq annotates it as small nucleolar RNA SNORA51. The transcript has a single exon. The record is from RefSeq and is a predicted model, not a curated record. Lineage: Eukaryota; Metazoa; Chordata; Mammalia; Chiroptera; Vespertilionidae.
GGCCCCCUGGUGCUUCCCAUGGGCUGUGUGCUUACACUGACUGUACAGAAAUCGGAGGCAGAGUAAACCCGCCCCAUAUACCCCUCAGCUCAGGCCCUGGGCCUGGUCUGUAUUAUGAAUGUGGAGACAUUG